This 325-nucleotide ribosomal RNA is filed under the name uncultured eukaryote. Its description in RNAcentral is "partial 18S ribosomal RNA". It matches the Rfam family "Eukaryotic small subunit ribosomal RNA", at positions 1470 to 1796 of the family's 1831-position model. The record is from RNAcentral.
CCCUUAGAUGUUCUGGGCUGCACGCGCGCUACACUGAUGCGUUCAACGAGUGUACAUCCUUGCCCGGUAGGGUUGGGUAAUCUUCUGAACACGCAUCGUGAUGGGGAUAGAUUAUUGCAAUUAUUAAUCUUCAACGAGGAAUUCCUAGUAAUGGUGAAUCAUCAGUUCAUCGUGAUUACGUCCCUGCCCUUUGUACACACCGCCCGUCGCUCCUACCGAUCGAAGAGUUAGGUGAAUUGUUUUGAUCGAUAAGAUUUGACUAUGGUCAACUCUCGUUGUGAAAUUCUGUGAAUCUGACUGUUUAGAGGAAGGAAAAGUCGUAACA